GACGAACGCUGGCGGCGUGCUUAACACAUGCAAGUCGAACGGAAAGGCCCUGCUUUUGUGGGGUGCUCGAGUGGCGAACGGGUGAGUAACACGUGAGUAACCUGCCCUUGACUUUGGGAUAACUUCAGGAAACUGGGGCUAAUACCGGAUAGGAGCUCCUGCUGCAUGGUGGGGGUUGGAAAGUUUCGGCGGUUGGGGGUGGACUCGCGGCUUAUCAGCUUGUUGGUGGGGUAGUGGCUUACCAAGGCUUUGACGGGUAGCCGGCCUGAGAGGGUGACCGGCCACAUUGGGACUGAGAUACGGCCCAGACUCCUACGGGAGGCAGCAGUGGGGAAUAUUGCACAAUGGGCGGAAGCCUGAUGCAGCAACGCCGCGUGCGGGAUGACGGCCUUCGGGUUGUAAACCGCUUUCGCCUGUGACGAAGCGUGAGUGACGGUAAUGGGUAAAGAAGCACCGGCUAACUACGUGCCAGCCGCCGCUGUAA
RNAcentral lists this ribosomal RNA (484 nucleotides) under uncultured bacterium. Its description in RNAcentral is "partial 16S ribosomal RNA". It matches the Rfam family "Bacterial small subunit ribosomal RNA", at positions 28 to 523 of the family's 1533-position model. The record is from RNAcentral.